This 658-nucleotide long non-coding RNA is filed under the name Nicotiana benthamiana. Its description in RNAcentral is "long non-coding RNA (NBEN_LNC007819)". The record is from RNAcentral. Lineage: Eukaryota; Viridiplantae; Streptophyta; Magnoliopsida; Solanales; Solanaceae.
GCAGGCAAGGAAAAUUCGGCGAUUACAUCUCAACUUUUCCUUUGAGACGUUAAUUUUCGCCGAUCUCUAUCAGCUCGUCUGAUCAACUUUCGAUAUGGAGAUGAAGAAGAUCACUUGUGCCGCCCUAGUUGCCGCAGCCUCCAUGAGUGCUGCCAUGGCUCAAAUGAGCCCAAGUUACGCCCCGGCUCCGUCGCCAAACAGCGAUGCUGCUGUCGCUUUGCCCGCUGUGGGAACUUUGAUUGGAGCCACACUCUUGUCCAUCUUUGCUUAUUAUAUGCACUAAAUCAUUGAGGAAGAAAAGCAAAAAUUGAAAAAAAUUACGGCGGGGGUGACGAGUAGGGUAAAAUGGGGGAAUUGCCAUUUCGUAGGAGGUGAAUACUGAUGUGUGGCGUGAUCCUUAAUGUCCUCCCUUUCUAGUGCUUUAUUUUUACUUUGGCAUUUCCUUCUGCCUGUACUUAACUUAUAUGAACCAAUGCAUAUCAUGCAACGUAAAAAAAUUCUUCGAUAUUUUCUAUUUUUGAUACUAUGAUAAUAACUUCUUGUUGCUCAAUUUUUAGAAAAGCGAUUACUAUCUGAGGCCAAGGUUAAGAAAAAUAUCUCAUAUUACGAAAUUAGCGCAAUUAAAAUAAUUUUAUCUUUAAUAUAUGAAUAUAUGUCG